RNAcentral lists this ribosomal RNA (1006 nucleotides) under Leuconostoc sp. RNAcentral's name for it is "bacterial SSU rRNA". It matches the Rfam family "Bacterial small subunit ribosomal RNA", at positions 77 to 1063 of the family's 1533-position model. Lineage: Bacteria; Bacillati; Bacillota; Bacilli; Lactobacillales; Lactobacillaceae. The record is from RNAcentral.
AGGUAGCUUGCACCUUUCAAGUGAGUGGCGAACGGGUGAGUAACACGUGGACAACCUGCCUCAAGGCUGGGGAUAACAUUUGGAAACAGAUGCUAAUACCGAAUAAAACUUAGUGUCGCAUGACAAAAAGUUAAAAGGCGCUUCGGCGUCACCUAGAGAUGGAUCCGCGGUGCAUUAGUUAGUUGGUGGGGUAAAGGCCUACCAAGACAAUGAUGCAUAGCCGAGUUGAGAGACUGAUCGGCCACAUUGGGACUGAGACACGGCCCAAACUCCUACGGGAGGCUGCAGUAGGGAAUCUUCCACAAUGGGCGAAAGCCUGAUGGAGCAACGCCGCGUGUGUGAUGAAGGCUUUCGGGUCGUAAAGCACUGUUGUAUGGGAAGAACAGCUAGAAUAGGAAAUGAUUUUAGUUUGACGGUACCAUACCAGAAAGGGACGGCUAAAUACGUGCCAGCAGCCGCGGUAAUACGUAUGUCCCGAGCGUUAUCCGGAUUUAUUGGGCGUAAAGCGAGCGCAGACGGUUUAUUAAGUCUGAUGUGAAAGCCCGGAGCUCAACUCCGGAAUGGCAUUGGAAACUGGUUAACUUGAGUGCAGUAGAGGUAAGUGGAACUCCAUGUGUAGCGGUGGAAUGCGUAGAUAUAUGGAAGAACACCAGUGGCGAAGGCGGCUUACUGGACUGCAACUGACGUUGAGGCUCGAAAGUGUGGGUAGCAAACAGGAUUAGAUACCCUGGUAGUCCACACCGUAAACGAUGAACACUAGGUGUUAGGAGGUUUCCGCCUCUUAGUGCCGAAGCUAACGCAUUAAGUGUUCCGCCUGGGGAGUACGACCGCAAGGUUGAAACUCAAAGGAAUUGACGGGGACCCGCACAAGCGGUGGAGCAUGUGGUUUAAUUCGAAGCAACGCGAAGAACCUUACCAGGUCUUGACAUCCUUUGAAGCUUUAGAAGAUAGAAGUGUUCUCUUCGGAGACAAAGUGACAGGUGGUGCAUGGUCGUCGUCAGCUCGU